GACGAACCGAGCGAACGUUGUUCGGAAUCACUGGGCUUAAAGGGCGCGUAGGCGGGCUGCCAAGUCCGGGGUGAAAUCCACCGGCUCAACCGGGGAAGGGCCUCGGAUACUGGCGGCCUGGAGGGGGGUAGGGGCGUGCGGAACUGUGGGUGGAGCGGUGGAAUGCGUUGAUAUCCACAGGAACUCCGGUGGCGAAGGCGGCACGCUGGACCCCACCUGACGCUGAGGCGCGAAAGCCAGGGGAGCGAACGGGA
This 254-nucleotide ribosomal RNA is filed under the name uncultured prokaryote. Its description in RNAcentral is "partial 16S ribosomal RNA". It matches the Rfam family "Bacterial small subunit ribosomal RNA", at positions 524 to 777 of the family's 1533-position model. The record is from RNAcentral.